Molecule: non-coding RNA, 121 nt
Organism: Picea glauca (white spruce)
Lineage: Eukaryota; Viridiplantae; Streptophyta; Pinopsida; Pinales; Pinaceae
Source: Rfam
AUAUGCCUAUAGAAUAGCAUUAAUGCACCAAAUCCCAUUAGAACUUCAUAGUUAAGCGUUCUCAGGAUAGAGUAGUACUGGGAUGGGUGACCUCCUAGGAAGUCCUAGUGUUUUACAUGCC